Molecule: small nucleolar RNA, 134 nt
Organism: Pteronotus mesoamericanus
Lineage: Eukaryota; Metazoa; Chordata; Mammalia; Chiroptera; Mormoopidae
Product: small nucleolar RNA SNORA42/SNORA80 family
Exons: 1
Source: RefSeq, a predicted model, not a curated record
GCGUGGGUUUGGGUUUAUGGCAGGCCUAUCCCUCUGGGUCUCUCAUAGAGUCCCAUGCCAGAGCAAACUGUGGCCUUGAACCAUUGCCUGGCCUCUGCCCAUAGGCUGCAGGCACUGAAGUGGUUUACACAGUG